Molecule: ribosomal RNA, 1445 nt
Filed under: uncultured organism
Description: SSU rRNA
Rfam family: Bacterial small subunit ribosomal RNA
Source: RNAcentral
AACGCUAGCUACAGGCUUAACACAUGCAAGUCGAGGGGCAGCAUGGUCUUAGCUUGCUAAGGCCGAUGGCGACCGGCGCACGGGUGAGUAACACGUAUCCAACCUGCCGUCUACUCUUGGACAGCCUUCUGAAAGGAAGAUUAAUACAAGAUGGCAUCAUGAGUCCGCAUGUUCACAUGAUUAAAGGUAUUCCGGUAGACGAUGGGGAUGCGUUCCAUUAGGUAGUAGGCGGGGUAACGGCCCACCUAGUCUUCGAUGGAUAGGGGUUCUGAGAGGAAGGUCCCCCACAUUGGAACUGAGACACGGUCCAAACUCCUACGGGAGGCAGCAGUGAGGAAUAUUGGUCAAUGGGCGAGAGUCUGAACCAGCCAAGUAGCGUGAAGGAUGACUGCCCUAUGGGUUGUAAACUUCUUUUAUAAAGGAAUAAAGUCGGGUAUGCAUACCCGUUUGCAUGUACUUUAUGAAUAAGGAUCGGCUAACUCCGUGCCAGCAGCCGCGGUAAUACGGAGGAUCCGAGCGUUAUCCGGAUUUAUUGGGUUUAAAGGGAGCGUAGAUGGAUGUUUAAGUCAGUUGUGAAAGUUUGCGGCUCAACCGUAAAAUUGCAGUUGAUACUGGAUAUCUUGAGUGCAGUUGAGGCAGGCGGAAUUCGUGGUGUAGCGGUGAAAUGCUUAGAUAUCACGAAGAACUCCGAUUGCGAAGGCAGCCUGCUAAGCUGCAACUGACAUUGAGGCUCGAAAGUGUGGGUAUCAAACAGGAUUAGAUACCCUGGUAGUCCACACGGUAAACGAUGAAUACUCGCUGUUUGCGAUAUACAGCAAGCGGCCAAGCGAAAGCGUUAAGUAUUCCACCUGGGGAGUACGCCGGCAACGGUGAAACUCAAAGGAAUUGACGGGGGCCCGCACAAGCGGAGGAACAUGUGGUUUAAUUCGAUGAUACGCGAGGAACCUUACCCGGGCUUAAAUUGCAGAUGAAUUACGGUGAAAGCCGUAAGCCGCAAGGCAUCUGUGAAGGUGCUGCAUGGUUGUCGUCAGCUCGUGCCGUGAGGUGUCGGCUUAAGUGCCAUAACGAGCGCAACCCUUGUUGUCAGUUACUAACAGGUUCUGCUGAGGACUCUGACAAGACUGCCAUCGUAAGAUGUGAGGAAGGUGGGGAUGACGUCAAAUCAGCACGGCCCUUACGUCCGGGGCUACACACGUGUUACAAUGGGGGGUACAGAGGGCCGCUACCACGCGAGUGGAUGCCAAUCCCAAAAACCUCUCUCAGUUCGGACUGGAGUCUGCAACCCGACUCCACGAAGCUGGAUUCGCUAGUAAUCGCGCAUCAGCCACGGCGCGGUGAAUACGUUCCCGGGCCUUGUACACACCGCCCGUCAAGCCAUGGGAGCCGGGGGUACCUGAAGUGCGUAACCGCGAGGAGCGCCCUAGGGUAAAACUGGUGACUGGGGC